AUUCUACCAACAGCAUUGUGAGAUGUCCAUGUUAUAUGUUCUGCUGAUGUAACUGCUGCUCUCGUUCCCUUAUUCUCAGAUGCGCAGUGUAAGUGGGAAUCAUACGGUGGCCAAAAUACAGCUUGAGAAAUCUUCCCAGGUCGUCUUCCGCUUUCCACUGGACUUGGCAGCUACACUGAAAGCUGUUAUCCUGGGUGCUUUCCUGUACAUGACUUUCAUAGUGGUCAAACGUUCCAGCAGGAGUUCCAAAGAUGUUGUCCCCAAGUGGCCCUACGUUCUUGGUGUGAAUUUUGGUGGCUGGGACUGGGGAGCAGAGAGUGGAGACUUUGGAGUCAGGCACUGUGGAGAUGGGGACUGUGGCGAUGGGGACAUUGGUGGCGGGGACUGUUGGGAUGGGGACUGUUGUGAUGGGGACUGUUGCGAUGGGGACUGUUGCGGUGAGGACGACUGUUGGGCAGGGGACUGUUGUUGUGAAGACUUUGAUUAAUUUUUAUUUUUUGUUAACUACAGUACUGUACAUUAUAAACAGGAUUAUGUCAGUGGAAAUUUCAGCUGAUUAAGAAGGGUCUACUGUAUUUUCAUCAUGAUGGCUCAUCUGAGGAUAUAUUUUGAUCAAUAUAAUAAUAACAACUGUAUUUCUCAAUAAACAAAAAUGUUGCUAUUUCCCAUGGAAGCAUGAUAAGCCUUGUAGAUGGGAUAGAGAAUGAGGUACUAUGAUUGUUGGGAGCAACACAGCCAUAACUAGACUUUUUGGUGCCCUUUACCAGAGAGAGAAUUGCCCCCCCCCCCCCCCCCCUCCUCCGUCACCCAUAUUUCCAAUAGGGACAUAAGGUGGGGAAGGGGCAUGACAAAAUUGAUCCUGGAGAAAACCCGUGCUUUGAUACUAUAUAUUAUGUACACGUAUUUCUAGAACACUGCAGGAAAAUGGAUGUAUACACCAAUCCUCUUUAUAUCACAUUCAUGCACUUAACUUUAGAGCUCGUUGUAAUUCAGUUACACUACCCUUUAUUAAAUAACACAUUUCAACAUACUGCCAUACCCAGGAUUCAAACACAUAACCUGUUGCAUUCCAGUCAAACACCCUACUCAUUGAGCUACUUGAUCCUAGAUAAAAACUAUGAGAUUUCUAACAAUAUGAAGCUACUAGUACUUUGUAAAAAAUAAAUAAAAAUCAGCAUUGCAAUUGAGCAGAUCUAUGUCGUGUGCAGCAACACAUCCAAUCGCUUACGGACACAUACUACAUAGAUCCGCUCAGCUGCAAUGCUGAAAAAAUUCUUACACAAAACACAAGGUGGGCUUCAAAUCUUAGUCUUUCUGGGUAUGUAUUGUGGUGUAGGUCAUGCACCAAUUUAGUUGCAUGGCCUACGUGAUAGUGCCGUAUUAUCGAUGAUAGUGACGUAUUAUAAGCAUUUACAUAUAUCUUACACUUAACAAUUAGGAAUUGGGAACAAUACAGUAAUAAUGCAAAGUUUGGAUAAUAACAGACAAACAGGUAAGAUGGCCAGGCUUAUAACUUUUAUUUAUUUCUGUGUAAAAUAAAACAAACAUUUUCAUUAGCAAAAAUAUAAAAAAACAGAUAGUAAUGUGUGAAGUGACAAACCACAUGAAAAAAAGAAAAGUUGUGCUCAGACCAUCCCAAAGUAUAUGUCGUCCUGUUUUCUAAUCACUAUUUCAUUAUCCCACAUUUAGAGGUAGAGUAUAUUAUUCCAUAUAUAACAAUAUAACUGUAUUAUAAUAAAUAUGAUUUCCAGUCCAA
Long non-coding RNA from Pseudophryne corroboree (corroboree frog), 1756 nucleotides. RefSeq lists it as uncharacterized. NCBI's taxonomy places the organism in Eukaryota, Metazoa, Chordata, Amphibia, Anura, Myobatrachidae. The record is from RefSeq and is a predicted model, not a curated record. The transcript has 2 exons.